This is a non-coding RNA of Shinella sp. DD12, 218 nucleotides long. The record is from Rfam. NCBI's taxonomy places the organism in Bacteria, Pseudomonadati, Pseudomonadota, Alphaproteobacteria, Hyphomicrobiales, Rhizobiaceae.
CAACGCCCGCCCGGCAAAGGCGCAGCCCGCCAGCCGGAAGCGAGUCUUGCAUGGAUGGCGGCAACGUCAUUCGUGAAGCGUAGACAGCGGGUGAUGAAGCGGUGGGGUAAGCCCCGAUAUCAUGAUCUUGAUGACGCCUUCGGAGUGUUGGGACCGGGGGCAGCACCCGACUUGCCGGUAUUGGCGAGGCAGGCGGGGUCGUCCGGGGUCUUGGGCCA